GUUCUUAUCUAUUGGUAAUUAUCUUCAAGAAUUUAAAGAAAACGCACCCGCCCUUAGCACAUUGUAGCCUCAAAUAUUUCUGCUAAAAUGUCUUUUAUAUUCUUCAUAUAUGUUAUAUUAUUCGUUACGCUUAACAUCCUAUAUAAUCGAGGUACAUAUUACUUAUCGGGUUAUUGGCGUGAUUCGAGAACUACAUAAUGGUAAUGUAAGGAAACGCAAGAACGUUAUUGAAAGCAAGACAACUCUUCGUUCUUUUAGAAAAACAAAUUCGGGCAGUUCUUUUAGGGAAAAAAUGCCAUUCCUACUAAUUAAAUUAAUUUUUUUUUUUUGCUAAUCAUUGUUUAUUGAAGUGCGCUUAACUAUUUGCUUUCAUAAGCUCAUUUAGCACAUUUAUACAGUUUAUAAAAUAUGGGUAACCUCAAAAUGUAUAGGGGCUGUUUGAGCCCAUAUCAGAGCAUUUCACUGUCAAAUAUUCCAAUAUAUGUAUUCAGUCUAACAACAAUACAUAAAAGGAUUCAAAUGCUGACAAUUCCUGAUUUCCUCUAUAUUUUUUUUCAAUUAAAUAAUUAAAUUUUUUUUCUUCUUAUUGAUUUACUAACAUUUGUUUACAUUUAAAAAUUUAUUUAGUACCUAUAACCAAUAUAGGAUUAUAGGUAUACUUAUGCAAAACAUAACGUGCAUAUUUGAAAUUUUAAAAGUAAGUUUUAAAGUAU
This is a long non-coding RNA of Zerene cesonia (dogface butterfly), 713 nucleotides long. RefSeq lists it as uncharacterized. The record is from RefSeq and is a predicted model, not a curated record. The transcript has 2 exons. NCBI's taxonomy places the organism in Eukaryota, Metazoa, Arthropoda, Insecta, Lepidoptera, Pieridae.